UUAGAGUUUGNUCCUGGCUCAGAUUGAACGCUGGCGGCAUGCCUUACACAUGCAAGUCGAACGGCAGCACGGGGGCAACCCUGGUGGCGAGUGGCGAACGGGUGAGUAACAUAUCGGAACGUGCCCUGGAGUGGGGGAUAACUAGUCGAAAGAUUAGCUAAUACCGCAUACGAUCUACGGAUGAAAGUGGGGGAUCGCAAGACCUCAUGCUCGUGGAGCGGCCGAUAUCUGAUUAGCUAGUUGGUGGGGUAAAGGCCUACCAAGGCAUCGAUCAGUAGCUGGUCUGAGAGGACGACCAGCCACACUGGGACUGAGACACGGCCCAGACUCCUACGGGAGGCAGCAGUGGGGAAUUUUGGACAAUGGGCGCAAGCCUGAUCCAGCAAUGCCGCGUGAGUGAAGAAGGCCUUCGGGUUGUAAAGCUCUUUUGUCAGGGAAGAAACGGUGGAGGUUAAUACCUUCUGCUAAUGACGGUACCUGAAGAAUAAGCACCGGCUAACUACGUGCCAGCAGCCGCGGUAAUACGUAGGGUGCAAGCGUUAAUCGGAAUUACUGGGCGUAAAGCGUGCGCAGGCGGUUGUGCAAGACAGAUGUGAAAUU
RNAcentral lists this ribosomal RNA (600 nucleotides) under bacterium enrichment culture clone F61x_D78_T3_F10. Its description in RNAcentral is "bacterial SSU rRNA". It matches the Rfam family "Bacterial small subunit ribosomal RNA", at positions 1 to 601 of the family's 1533-position model. The record is from RNAcentral.